GUGAACGCUGGCGGUAGGCCUAACACAUGCAAGUCGAACGGCAGCACAGUAAGAGCUUGCUCUUACGGGUGGCGAGUGGCGGACGGGUGAGGAAUACAUCGGAAUCUACUUUUUCGUGGGGGAUAACGUAGGGAACCUUACGCUAAUACCGCAUACGACCUACGGGUGAAAGCAGGGGAUCUUCGGACCUUGCGCGAUUGAAUGAGCCGAUGUCGGAUUAGCUAGUUGGCGGGGUAAAGGCCCACCAAGGCGACGAUCCGUAGCUGGUCUGAGAGGAUGAUCAGCCACACUGGAACUGAGACACGGUCCAGACUCCUACGGGAGGCAGCAGUGGGGAAUAUUGGACAAUGGGCGCAAGCCUGAUCCAGCAAUACCGCGUGGGUGAUGAAGGCCUUCGGGUUGUAAAGCCCUUUUGUUGGGAAAGAAAAGCAGCAGGUUAAUACCCCGCUGUUCUGACGGUACCCAAAGAAUAAGCACCGGCUAACUUCGUG
This 491-nucleotide ribosomal RNA is filed under the name uncultured bacterium. RNAcentral describes it as "partial 16S ribosomal RNA". It matches the Rfam family "Bacterial small subunit ribosomal RNA", at positions 29 to 507 of the family's 1533-position model. The record is from RNAcentral.